This 75-nucleotide transfer RNA is filed under the name Streptomyces hygroscopicus. RNAcentral describes it as "tRNA-Gln". It matches the Rfam family "tRNA". From Rfam's summary of the family: Transfer RNA (tRNA) molecules are approximately 80 nucleotides in length. Their secondary structure includes four short double-helical elements and three loops (D, anti-codon, and T loops). RNAcentral also lists the same sequence under 5 other names. Lineage: Bacteria; Bacillati; Actinomycetota; Actinomycetes; Kitasatosporales; Streptomycetaceae. The record is from RNAcentral.
UCCCCUGUGGUGUAAUUGGCAACACGACCGGUUUUGGUCCGGUUGUUCCAGGUUCGAGUCCUGGCGGGGGAGCCA